Molecule: ribosomal RNA, 497 nt
Filed under: uncultured bacterium
Lineage: Bacteria
Description: partial 16S ribosomal RNA
Rfam family: Bacterial small subunit ribosomal RNA
Source: RNAcentral
GAUGAACGCUGGCGGCGUGCCUAAUACAUGCAAGUCGAGCGAACGGACGAGAAGCUUGCUUCUCUGAUGUUAGCGGCGGACGGGUGAGUAACACGUGGAUAACCUACCUAUAAGACUGGGAUAACUUCGGGAAACCGGAGCUAAUACCGGAUGAUAUUUUGAACCGCAUGGUUCAAAAGUGAAAGACGGUCUUGCUGUCACUUAUAGAUGGAUCCGCGCUGCAUUAGCUAGUUGGUAAGGUAACGGCUUACCAAGGCAACGAUGCAUAGCCGACCUGAGAGGGUGAUCGGCCACACUGGAACUGAGACACGGUCCAGACUCCUACGGGAGGCAGCAGUAGGGAAUCUUCCGAAAUGGGCGAAAGCCUGACGGAGCAACGCCGCGUGAGUGAUGAAGGUCUUCGGAUCGUAAAACUCUGUUAUUAGGGAAGAACAUAUGUGUAAGUAACUGUGCACAUCUUGACGGUACCUAAUCAGAAAGCCACGGCUAACUACGUG